GCGGGGGUAGCCAAGCGGUAACGGCGCAGGGCUUAGGACCCUGUGGCGAAGGCCUUCGUGGGUUCGAAUCCCACCCCCCGCA
RNAcentral lists this transfer RNA (82 nucleotides) under Thermoplasmata archaeon. Its description in RNAcentral is "tRNA-Leu". It matches the Rfam family "tRNA". From Rfam's summary of the family: Transfer RNA (tRNA) molecules are approximately 80 nucleotides in length. Their secondary structure includes four short double-helical elements and three loops (D, anti-codon, and T loops). Further hydrogen bonds mediate the characteristic L-shaped molecular structure. tRNAs have two regions of fundamental functional importance: the anti-codon, which is responsible for specific mRNA codon recognition, and the 3' end, to which the tRNAs corresponding amino acid is attached (by aminoacyl-tRNA synthetases). tRNAs cope with the degeneracy of the genetic code in two manners: having more than one tRNA (with a specific anti-codon) for a particular amino acid; and 'wobble' base-pairing, i.e. permitting non-standard base-pairing at the 3rd anti-codon position. Lineage: Archaea; Methanobacteriati; Thermoplasmatota; Thermoplasmata. RNAcentral also lists the same sequence under 1 other name. The record is from RNAcentral.